AGCCUUGUCAAAUAGGUGUUCUUGGGCGGCGAAAUUUCUUAUAAUAUGACUGUGUAAGAGACGUGGACAGACAGUUGAAGAUAAACAAUGAUAAGGAUAAACAAUUAGAACGAACAAGACCGUUUCAAUGGUUAACGACGGAUAGUGAGUGAUUACCAAGGAAGAGAAAAGAAGAGGAGGCGGAAAAGUAUAGGAAUAGCACAAGGCAGCACCCCCUCACCCCCCAUACACCUAUGAAGAACUAUUAGACAACCAGGUGAGCUUCCAGGUUCCCCGAUGCUGCUGGUGAUGUGACACAGUGUGGACCUCUGCUGCAUCUCCUCACCUCCCUGCUGCUGGACUCCGCCUCCCUGGCCUCCACCACCAGCCCCAGCACUCCUACUACAGUGGCUCCCAUUCACUGCCUUCGCCACUCCCACCGUCUGUCUUUGCAGCAUCCAGCAUGUCACCGUCAGACUCGUUGGCUGGUUGUGACGCCGGUAAAUGAGCAGCUUGAGCACCUUAGAGUUCGAAGGACUCCCAAACUUUGCAUUUUCUUUUUUUUUU
Molecule: long non-coding RNA, 546 nt
Organism: Eriocheir sinensis (Chinese mitten crab)
Lineage: Eukaryota; Metazoa; Arthropoda; Malacostraca; Decapoda; Varunidae
Exons: 4
Source: RefSeq, a predicted model, not a curated record